Long non-coding RNA from Syngnathoides biaculeatus (alligator pipefish), 2927 nucleotides. RefSeq lists it as uncharacterized. The record is from RefSeq and is a predicted model, not a curated record. Lineage: Eukaryota; Metazoa; Chordata; Actinopteri; Syngnathiformes; Syngnathidae. The transcript has 3 exons.
UCCAAAAAAAACAUAACUAUUUGCUGGAUAAAUACUGUCAAUAACCGAAAUUCAGUACUCAUAGCAUUAAAACUGAUGGCUUGUCAUCAGCAAAUCGAGUGGACCCAGUGUUAUUGAAAUACGUGAAAAUGACCAAUAUAGUAAUCCAUCCAUUCACCCAUUUUCUUCACCGCUUAUCCUCACGAGUAGUGCUGGAGCCUAUCCCAGCUGUCAACGGGCAGGAGGCAGGGUACACCCUGAACUGGUUGUCAGCCAAUCGCAGGGCACAUACAGACGAACAACCAUUCACACUUACAAUCACACCUAGGGGCAAUUUAGAGUGUCCAAUUAAUGCUGCACGUUUUUGGGAUGUGAUAGGAAACCGGAGUGCCCGGAGAAAACCCACGCAAGCACGGGGAGAACAUGCAAACUCCAAACAGGCGGGUCCGGGAUCGAACCCCGGUCCUCAGAACUGUGAGGCCAAGGCUUUACCAGCUGAUUCACCAUGCCGGCCAAUAAAGUAAUAUAUCAUUGUAUAACAUAAAGUAUAAUACAUAAUGAUGGAAUUCUUCCGGUUACAAGAGGACUCACUUGCCCCGACAACCUCCGCCCAUUUCAAAUACAUUGUCGUAUGGCAAUAUGGAGAUAAGCUAUUUUAACCAAUCGGCUGCUAUUAGAGUCAUAAGGUAAUCUCAGAAGGUUGCAGUGGGCAACACGGCCCUUCCCUGGUGUAAAAUAUCACACAGGGGUGACUUUGUGAUUUCCCCAACCUGGAUGGAGCCAAACAGAUGGUGCAACACCCUUUUAGAAAGUGGAAAGGCUAACUACUACGCAUUAAAAGGAACUUGAACCCAAUUAGUGUGCCCAUAAAACAUUACUGUACAUUAUGUCCUUGGCAAAAGUGUAUAGAAGGGUAAAAGCGCUGGAUUUAGUGAUUUUCCUUUUGUCCACAUUUAGGACUAUCUAGUGACUUUUUCCUGCAUGUGUUUCUUGCAAGCAGAGAAAUUCUCCAAAAUAAACAUUCCACUAGUAACGGCACGCCUGGAUGCGUAAGUGAAUAAAUGCACCCCGUUGCUAUGGAGGUUUGUUAUUGCGUCCCAGUAGGUGGCCCCCAGUAAGGCAGGCCGCACUCUCUCAUCGCCGUGCUCGAGAGGACAUUUUUGAACACUGACAUCAAGGAAAUGUGCCUGAACUCUCCUUCACUCCUGCUGACAUGUGACUAUGGGCACACGAAGUCGCUUUUCCAAAAGAAAGCUACUUUGAUACAAGAAGAAGAAGAAAAAAAAAAGAACAAUGAUACUAGUCUAAAUGCACACAAACAUUUGCCACCUCUUCCCGUGUUGUGGAGCCAAAAAAGGGCCUUCCAUGACAUCAACCCUAGCAACGGUGCAAACAUCCGAGAGGCCAGAAGGAGCCAAUCCAGACUGCACAAUCCUUGCCCAGUGCCUAAGGAAAGUUUGCUGUAUCGUCUUCCUGCUUCCAUACAACAUUUUUCCACUAAAAAUAAUCUAGUGACUUUUAAAGUCACUGUUCAUUUUAAUCCCAUAGCGCUCCUCUUGUAGACCAAAGUUGGGAACACAAAUGUUAUCCCAAGUGCUACGAAGGUUAUUUAUGGGACACUUAGUAGGCUCCUAAAUUAACUUUUUAUUACCUUCACAAUAUGACUCACAAUGCUCGUAUUUCACUUCGUUGCUGCUAACGUCUUAUUUUUAAUCCGAGUGGCCUGGACAGGCAGUUUGUUGUGCAGACCAAAGAAGAUUAAAAAAAAAAAAAAAAAAGACUUGAUACAGGGAGUUCUCGGUCUACGACUGACAUCCGUUCCGACAGUAGCGAUUUCACUCGAAUUUUGACUUAAGUCGGAUUCCACCAUUAAAGUCGGAAUUUACAUCAAAAUACUUUGUAUAAAAAAAAAAUACAUUGAAAUAAACGAGAUGAUGUACUUUGCAUGACUGUUGAGAGGUGGAUGGAGAAGAAGAUGGGGAGGCGGUGCUCAGCUAUUGCAAAGGAACCUGGUCCUCAAUCCUCUCCAUCUCGACAAGUAUCAAAGAACCUUGUUUUGUGGUCAUUGUAUCCAACAUAGGAACGAAACCCUUCACAUGCGGUAAAAUACGGGCUUUGUCUUUAACAAUUGUUACCACGGUCGACCGACUGAAGCCUUGGUGGUGCUUGUGUCUCACCUUUCUCCAAUCGUUUUAUGAUCUUGAGCUUCGUUUCCAUGGUCAUGGCUUUUCUUCUGGCUGCAGAAGCAUUUCUAAAAGACAGAGCUUUCUUCUUUGGGGUGAUCAUGUCUAAAAAUGGAGGACAAAAAAUGCAAAGAUACUCCCGGCGCACAAACACGGACAAGCGUUAGCCAGGCAAAAUGGCGGACAGGAACGGGCGCUGUAAAGUAGAAUUGUCUUAGGUCGAGACCGUCUUAACACGAGGAAUCCCUGUAGCAUAAACCGGCAGAAUUUCAAGGAUAUCAGAACCAGCUUUUUGGGAAAGUAAAUUACAAAACACUGACAGAACUUUUUUCUAGUGGCUGAAGCGUUGUGUAGAGGGCAGUGGAGAGAAGACACAUCCCUGUGGGGCCCCAGAUGCUGAUGUGGAUGAGGUGGGAUCCCCCAACCACACCUGGGCGCUUCCUGGCGGGCAGUAAUGGCUUAUGAGAGCUUGUCACCUAUAGGCCGCCAGCUCCAUGCCGAGGUCCAUCUUGACCCGCAGCAGAUGCUGAUGGUCCUUCACCUUCUGCGCGAUGCCCUCGGCCAUGGCGUUCCUCUCUUGUUCCAGCUGGUUGAUGAUAACCUGGACAGAACAACAUCAAAUGUGAAAUCUAAGGACGAACUACAGGAUUGACCUUGCGUCGCCUAGCAUGACCUGGUCCUCCUGGAUGGCCCGCUCCAUCUCCUCCACCUUCUGCUGGUACAUGUCGAAGGUUCGCAUCCAGCCCUCAGACAUCCCGUGGGCGU